This 460-nucleotide ribosomal RNA is filed under the name uncultured bacterium. Its description in RNAcentral is "partial 16S ribosomal RNA". It matches the Rfam family "Bacterial small subunit ribosomal RNA", at positions 338 to 795 of the family's 1533-position model. The record is from RNAcentral.
CCUACGGGUGGCAGCAGUGAGGAAUAUUGGUCAAUGGACGAGAGUCUGAACCAGCCAAGUAGCGUGAAGGAUGACUGCCCUAUGGGUUGUAAACUUCUUUUAUAUGGGAAUAAAAUGUUCCAUGUGUGGGAUUUUGUAUGUACCAUAUGAAUAAGGAUCGGCUAACUCCGUGCCAGCAGCCGCGGUAAUACGGAGGAUCCGAGCGUUAUCCGGAUUUAUUGGGUUUAAAGGGAGCGUAGGUGGAUUGUUAAGUCAGUUGUGAAAGUUUGCGGCUCAACCGUAAAAUUGCAGUUGACACUGGCAGUCUUGAGUACAGUAGAGGUGGGCGGAAUUCGUGGUGUAGCGGUGAAAUGCUUAGAUAUCACGAAGAACUCCGAUUGCGAAGGCAGCUCACUGGACUGCAACUGACACUGAGGCUCGAAAGCGUGGGGAGCAAACAGGAUUAGAUACCCCAGUAGUC